UUGGUUAAGUUAGAAAGGGCGCACGGUGGAUGCCUUGGCACUAGGAGCCGAAGAAGGACGGGACUAACACCGAUAUGCUUUGGGGAGCUGUACGUAAGCGUUGAUCCAGAGAUUUCCGAAUGGGGGAACCCACUAUCUUUAGUCGGAUAGUAUCCUUACGUGAAUACAUAGCGUGAGGAAGGCAGACCCAGGGAACUGAAACAUCUAAGUACCUGGAGGAAGAGAAAGAAAAAUCGAUUUCCUGAGUAGCGGCGAGCGAAACGGAAAGAGCCCAAACCAAGAAGCUUGCUUCUUGGGGUUGUAGGACACUCUAUACGGAGUUACAAAAGAAAGUUAUAAAUGAAGCGGUCUGGAAAGGCCCGCCAAAGACGGUAACAGCCCGGUAGUUGAAAUGGCUUUCCCUCCAGAGUGGAUCCUGAGUACGGCGGAACACGUGAAAUUCCGUCGGAAUCCGGGAGGACCAUCUCCCAAGGCUAAAUACUCCCUAGUGACCGAUAGUGAACCAGUACCGUGAGGGAAAGGUGAAAAGCACCCCGGAAGGGGAGUGAAACAGUUCCUGAAACCGUGUGCCUACAAGUAGUUAGAGCCCGUUAAUGGGUGAUAGCGUGCCUUUUGUAGAAUGAACCGGCGAGUUACGAUUUGUUGCAAGGUUAAGCGGAAAAAGCGGAGCCGUAGCGAAAGCGAGUCUGAAUAGGGCGCAUAAGUAACAGGUCGUAGACCCGAAACCAGGUGAUCUACCCAUGUCCAGGAU
RNAcentral lists this ribosomal RNA (751 nucleotides) under Listeria monocytogenes. Its description in RNAcentral is "partial 23S ribosomal RNA". It matches the Rfam family "Bacterial large subunit ribosomal RNA", at positions 1 to 746 of the family's 2925-position model. The record is from RNAcentral. Lineage: Bacteria; Bacillati; Bacillota; Bacilli; Caryophanales; Listeriaceae.